RNAcentral lists this ribosomal RNA (462 nucleotides) under uncultured bacterium. Its description in RNAcentral is "SSU rRNA". It matches the Rfam family "Bacterial small subunit ribosomal RNA", at positions 26 to 518 of the family's 1533-position model. The record is from RNAcentral.
AGAAUCAACGCUGGCGGCGUGCCUAACACAUGCAAGUCGAACGAGAAGGUGGAGCAAUCCAUGAGUAAAGUGGCGACCGGGUGAGUAACACGUGACUAACCUACCUUCGAGUGGGGGAUAACCUCGGGAAAACCGAGGCUAAUACCGCAUAACAUCGCAAGAUCAAAGCAGCAAUGCGCUGGAAGAGGGGGUCGCGGCUGAUUAGCUAGUUGGCGGGGUAACGGCCCACCAAGGCGAAGAUCGGUAGCCGGCCUGAGAGGGCGCGACGGCCACACCUGGAACUGAAACACGGUCCAGACUCCUACGGGAGGCAGCAGUGGGGAAUUUUGCGCAAUGGGGGAAACCCUGACGCAGCAACGCCGCGUGGAGGAUGAAGCCCUUGGGGCGUAAACUCCUUUCGACCAAGACGAUAAUGACGGUACUGGUGGAAGAAGCACCGGCUAACUCUGUGCCAGCAGCCGC